GUCUGGAGUACUGUUUGGUCUUGUAUCGGCAGUAUUCUUAGGCAUCCGUAUGAGAAACCUACUCGCACUUCACCGUGCGGUAGGUGUAUCAUACACUUUACUUUGAAAAAAUUAGAGUGUUUCAGGCAGGCAAGUGCUGGAAUACCAAAGCAUGGAAUAAUGGAAUAGGACUUUUGACCUAUUUUAUUGGUACAUUAGGUCAAAGUA
This 207-nucleotide ribosomal RNA is filed under the name uncultured fungus. RNAcentral's name for it is "partial small subunit ribosomal RNA". The stretch from base 81 to 207 matches the Rfam family "Eukaryotic small subunit ribosomal RNA", at positions 735 to 864 of the family's 1831-position model. Lineage: Eukaryota; Fungi. The record is from RNAcentral.